Molecule: ribosomal RNA, 345 nt
Filed under: Clostridioides difficile
Lineage: Bacteria; Bacillati; Bacillota; Clostridia; Peptostreptococcales; Peptostreptococcaceae
Description: bacterial LSU rRNA
Rfam family: Bacterial large subunit ribosomal RNA
Source: RNAcentral
UGCGUAAUAGCUCCCUGGUCGAGUGAUCCUGCGCCGAAGCUUUCCGGGGCUAAAACUUACGACCGAAGCUACGGCAUCAGUCAUGAUGGGUAGGGGAGAUUCCCUAACGGGUGGAAGCGUGACCGUAAGGACAGGGGGUCAGUAUGGGAGUGAGAAUGUUGGCAUGAGUAGCGAGAUGUGGGUGAGAAUCCCACAGGCCGUAAACACAAGGUUUCCAGGGGAAGGUUCGGCCGCCCUGGGUUAGUCGGGAACUAAGCUGAGGCCGAAAGGCGUAGGUGAUGGACAACAGGUUGAUAUUCAUGUACUACCGAUAACCGUUGGAGAGAAGUGAUGACACAGUCGGAA